UAUUCAGCAGCAGAAACUCGGAAAAUUAUGGAAAGAAAGCAAAGCAUUUUACAGGAAACCAAAAAUCCCAACUUUUGAUAAACCCUAGAGAGAGAAAGAACCAUGAGACGAACUCUGCUGAGUAAUCUCUCUCUCUGCACUCGCAAUCGCCUUCUCUCUCCUCAAACAUUCAACCCAAAUCCUACCCCCUCACUCGUCCCACUCGCCCGUUCGACUCGGUCCCUGCUCAGCCGGUUCUUCUCUUCGGACGGCGACUCCUCCGCCGAAGGCCCCAAUCCGGCUGCUGAUUCGAGCUUGAUCCCAACCAAAAAGAAAGAUGCCUCCGUCGAAGUCAAGGACGUCAAUAACAAAGAGCUGAAGGAGCGGAUAGAUAAAUAUUUUAAGGGUGAUGAGGAGGCGCUCCCGGAGAUACUCGAAGCAAUUCUGCAGAGGAGAUUGGCUGGGAAGCACGAGGAAACAGAUGAUGAGCUGAUUGAUGAAUUGCAAAUGCAGCCAUUGGAUGAUGUUAAGGACCAAGAGUUUGAAUCGGAUUUUGAGGAAUUGUACGACACGGAUGAAGAGAUUGAUGACUUGUAUAACGCAAAGGAUAUAGUCAUGAAUAGGAUGUCAAAAGAUGAGUACUUCAACAUGGAUGCCAAGAAGUGGGAUGAUAUUGUUGAGGAUGCAAUUAAGCACGGGAUUAUGAAGGAUACAAAGGAGUGUGAGGCGAUUCUCGAGGAUAUGCUUAGCUGGGAUAAGCUCCUGCCAGAUGACAUGAAAAGGAAGGUAGAAGAGAAGUUCAAUGACUUGGGGGAUAAGUGUGAAGGAGGGGAGCUUCAACCUGAAGAAGCUUAUGAGUUGUUCAAGGAGUUUGAGGAUGAGAUUGUCAUGGAGUAUUUGCAGAAGAUGGAAGCCGACGGCCCCCCCACAAUUUGAUGAGGAUGUGUCUGACAAGAAGGAUCUGGCUGACCCACCAGGCGAAGGGCCAAUCCUUAGGUGGCAAACACGGGUAGUCUUUGCUCCUGGUGGUGAUUCCUGGCAUCCCAAGAAUAGAAAAGUGAAACUGUCUGUUACAGUGAAAGAACUCGGGCUUUCAAAGCAUCAAUUCCGUCGGCUCAGAGACUUGGUUGGAAAGCGGUACAAUCCAGGGAAAGAUGAGCUUACAAUUACUAGUGAGAGGUUUGAACACCGAGAAGAAAAUAGAAAGGAUUGCCUUAGGACACUUCUCUCCCUCAUUGAGGAAGCUGGGAAGGCUAACAAACUGGCUGAGGAUGCUCGAGUUUCGUAUGUCAAGGAGAGAUUAAGAGCAAAUCCCGCAUUCAUGGAGAGGCUGCACAACAAGACCAUGAGAUUGCAAGGAAAGAGUGCAGUACCUGCUUGAGAUUUUGAAUUCUAGCAGCUCAAAUAAGUUUCCUGGUCUGGGAUGACAUUAUCUCGACAUUCAGCGUUUUAAUUGGUUGACCCCCGCUCCAAGGUUAUUAUUUUGCAAUAGUCUAUACCCCCAAAUGGAUAUUUAGUGCACGGAUAGAUACAUUUUGCUAGUUGCUAAUGUUGGCAGUCAUUUGCUUUACUUUCUAGUCCUUGAAAAGUUCACAGGGAUGUAUAACUUGUUAAGAUCAGUGUUGUUUUGAAGUUUAUGUGCAAUGUUUUAAACAUCUUUCUGGUUCGGCAAGAUCUUUCGCUGUUAGCUUAAUGUACUACCGUUGAGUUGCUUAAUAACUUUGCUUCCACCAG
Molecule: non-coding RNA, 1713 nt
Organism: Malus domestica (apple)
Lineage: Eukaryota; Viridiplantae; Streptophyta; Magnoliopsida; Rosales; Rosaceae
Source: RefSeq, a predicted model, not a curated record